GGCGACGUAGCCAAGUGGUAAGGCAGGGGUCUGCAAAACCCUUAUUCGCCGGUUCAAUUCCGGCCGUCGCCU
Molecule: transfer RNA, 72 nt
Filed under: Chloroflexota bacterium
Lineage: Bacteria; Bacillati; Chloroflexota
Also listed under: 1 other name
Description: Chloroflexi bacterium (cold seep metagenome) tRNA-Cys
Rfam family: tRNA
About the family: Transfer RNA (tRNA) molecules are approximately 80 nucleotides in length. Their secondary structure includes four short double-helical elements and three loops (D, anti-codon, and T loops). Further hydrogen bonds mediate the characteristic L-shaped molecular structure. tRNAs have two regions of fundamental functional importance: the anti-codon, which is responsible for specific mRNA codon recognition, and the 3' end, to which the tRNAs corresponding amino acid is attached (by aminoacyl-tRNA synthetases). tRNAs cope with the degeneracy of the genetic code in two manners: having more than one tRNA (with a specific anti-codon) for a particular amino acid; and 'wobble' base-pairing, i.e. permitting non-standard base-pairing at the 3rd anti-codon position.
Source: RNAcentral